Molecule: non-coding RNA, 83 nt
Organism: Pan troglodytes (chimpanzee)
Lineage: Eukaryota; Metazoa; Chordata; Mammalia; Primates; Hominidae
Source: Rfam
AGGACUGUACUUUCAGGGAUCAUUUCUAUAGUUUGUUUCUAGAGAAGUUUCUCUGAAUAUAUAGAGCACUGGAAAAAUCCAUU